This 481-nucleotide ribosomal RNA is filed under the name uncultured bacterium. RNAcentral's name for it is "partial 16S ribosomal RNA". It matches the Rfam family "Bacterial small subunit ribosomal RNA", at positions 28 to 523 of the family's 1533-position model. The record is from RNAcentral.
GACGAACGCUGGCGGCGUGCUUAACACAUGCAAGUCGAGCGGAAAGGCCACUUCGGUGGUACUCGAGCGGCGAACGGGUGAGUAACACGUGAGUAAUCUGCCCCUGGCUUUGGGAUAGCCACCGGAAACGGUGAUUAAUACCGGAUACGACCACUUCUCGCAUGGGAUGGUGGUGGAAAGUUUUUUCGGCCAGGGAUGUGCUCGCGGCCUAUCAGCUUGAUGGUGAGGUAAUGGCUCACCAUGGCUUCGACGGGUAGCCGGCCUGAGAGGGUGACCGGUCACACUGGGACUGGGACAGGGCCCAGAGUCCUAUGGGAGGCAGCAGUGGGGAAUAUUGGACAAUGGGCGGAAGCCUGAUCCAGCAACGCCGCGUGAGGGAUGACGGCCUUCGGGUUGUAAACCUCUUUCAGCAGGGACGAAGCGCAAGUGACGGUACCUGCAGAAGAAGCACCGGCCAACUACGUGCCAGCCGCCGCAGUAA